This 497-nucleotide ribosomal RNA is filed under the name uncultured bacterium. RNAcentral's name for it is "partial 16S ribosomal RNA". It matches the Rfam family "Bacterial small subunit ribosomal RNA", at positions 28 to 507 of the family's 1533-position model. The record is from RNAcentral.
GAUGAACGCUGGCGGCGUGCCUAAUACAUGCAAGUCGAGCGAACAGACGAGGAGCUUGCUCCUCUGACGUUAGCGGCGGACGGGUGAGUAACACGUGGAUAACCUACCUAUAAGACUGGGAUAACUUCGGGAAACCGGAGCUAAUACCGGAUAAUAUAUUGAACCGCAUGGUUCAAUAGUGAAAGACGGUUUUGCUGUCACUUAUAGAUGGAUCCGCGCCGCAUUAGCUAGUUGGUAAGGUAACGGCUUACCAAGGCAACGAUGCGUAGCCGACGUGAGAGGGUGAUCGGCCACACUGGAACUGAGACACGGUCCAGACUCCUACGGGAGGCAGCAGUAGGGAAUCUUCCGCAAUGGGCGAAAGCCUGACGGAGCAACGCCGCGUGAGUGAUGAAGGUCUUCGGAUCGUAAAACUCUGUUAUUAGGGAGGAACAAAUGUGUAAGUAACUAUGCACGUCUUGACGGUACCUAAUCAGAAAGCCACGGCUAACUACGUG